ACAAUGAAAGCUUUUUUCCAUUUCUGAUUGAAUAAAACAAAUGACAAACAAAACAAAAAGAGGAAAAUAUAAUCCUACUCAGCCAAAACUCUUAUUACUUAAUAGGCCAGACCAUAUUAAAAGGAUAGAGCAUAAACACAAACCUUCACUUUCUGAUGUUGCAUCUAACUCCUCCUGAAGAAAUGGUCCCUCUUCAUUAAGAUCUUCAAUCACAUGAGAGCUGAGAAAUUCCGGAUUUACAGUUGCCUGUAGAA
This is a long non-coding RNA of Dromaius novaehollandiae (emu), 254 nucleotides long. RefSeq lists it as uncharacterized. The transcript is spliced from 2 exons. The record is from RefSeq and is a predicted model, not a curated record. Lineage: Eukaryota; Metazoa; Chordata; Aves; Casuariiformes; Dromaiidae.